UGACAGUCUUCAGGGGCCAUAGCUGGAUU
RNAcentral lists this non-coding RNA (29 nucleotides) under Rattus norvegicus (Norway rat). The record is from RNAcentral. Lineage: Eukaryota; Metazoa; Chordata; Mammalia; Rodentia; Muridae.